RNAcentral lists this ribosomal RNA (253 nucleotides) under uncultured Akkermansia sp. Its description in RNAcentral is "partial 16S ribosomal RNA". It matches the Rfam family "Bacterial small subunit ribosomal RNA", at positions 524 to 776 of the family's 1533-position model. Lineage: Bacteria; Pseudomonadati; Verrucomicrobiota; Verrucomicrobiia; Verrucomicrobiales; Akkermansiaceae. The record is from RNAcentral.
UACAGAGGUAUCAAGCGUUGUUCGGAAUCACUGGGCGUAAAGCGUGCGUAGGCUGUUUCGUAAGUCGUGUGUGAAAGGCGCGGGCUCAACCCGCGGACGGCACAUGAUACUGCGAGACUAGAGUAAUGGAGGGGGAACCGGAAUUCUCGGUGUAGCAGUGAAAUGCGUAGAUAUAUGGAGGAACACCAGUGGCGAAGGCGGCGAUCUGGGGUGCAACUGACGCUCAGUCCCGAAAGCGUGGGGAGCAAAUAGG